UAGGAUAUAGCUCAGUGGCAUGGCACCUGUCUGGCAAGCACAAGGUCCUGAGUUUGAUUCUCAGUACCAAAA
RNAcentral lists this transfer RNA (72 nucleotides) under Cavia porcellus (domestic guinea pig). It matches the Rfam family "tRNA". Rfam says of the family: Transfer RNA (tRNA) molecules are approximately 80 nucleotides in length. The record is from Rfam by way of RNAcentral. Lineage: Eukaryota; Metazoa; Chordata; Mammalia; Rodentia; Caviidae.